This 254-nucleotide ribosomal RNA is filed under the name uncultured bacterium. RNAcentral's name for it is "partial 16S ribosomal RNA". It matches the Rfam family "Bacterial small subunit ribosomal RNA", at positions 524 to 776 of the family's 1533-position model. The record is from RNAcentral.
UACGAAGGGGGCUAGCGUUGUUCGGAAUUACUGGGCGUAAAGCGCACGUAGGCGGAUAUUUAAGUCAGGGGUGAAAUCCCGGGGCUCAACCUCGGAACUGCCUUUGAUACAGCACGUCUCGAGUCCGGAAGAGGUGAGUGGAACUCCGAGUGUAGAGGUGAAAUUCGUAGAUAUUCGGAAGAACACCAGUGGCGAAGGCGGCUCACUGGUCCGGUACUGACGCUGAGGUGCGAAAGCGUGGGGGAGCAAACAGG